AUGCGGCCUCCCUAUGGCAGCACCUUCUUCGGCCGCCCCACGGGCCGCAACGGCGACGGUCGGCUCAUCAUCGACUUCAUUGCUGAAAACCUGGGCCUGCCGUAUGUGCCGCCCACGCUGGCGCACAACGGCAGCUUUCGCCGAGGUGCCAACUUCGCCGUUGGAGCCGCCACCGUCCUAGAUGCCAGUUUCUUCCACGAGAGGGACAUCCCCGGUGGUUCCAGCAAGUUCCCCCUCAACACCAGCCUUGGCGUGCAGCUGGAGUGGUUCGAGUCUAUGAAGCCUACAUUGUGCCGCACACCUCGAGCGUGCAAGAAAUUCUUCGGCAGAUCCCUCUUCUUGGUGGGCGAGUUCGGAGUCAACGACUAUCACUUCUCUUUCCAAAGCAAAACGGUGCAGGAAGUCAGAUCCUUCGUUCCAGAUGUUGUCGCUACCAUCUCCAUCGCCAUCGAGAGGCUGAUCAAGCACGGAGCGAGAAGCCUGGUGGUUCCCGGCGUGAUCCCGUCGGGAUGCUCACCGCCUAUCCUGACCAAGUUCGCCGACGCCCCAGCGGCAGCAUACGACCCCAAAACCGGCUGUCUGACAGCGCGCAACGAGCUGGGGCUGCACCACAACGCGCUACUGCAGGCGGCGCUGUCCAGGCUCCGGGCCAAGCACCGCAACGUCAAGAUCAUCUACGCCGAUUUCUUUCGUCCAAUCAUAGAGAUGGUGGAGUCGCCACACAAGUUCGGUUUUGAAGAGGACGUACUUAUGGUGUGCUGUGGAGGGCCGGGAAGGUACGGAAUGAACGGGACGGUUCCAUGCGGCGAUGCAGCCGCGACGACGUGCCGAAAUCCGUCUGCUCGGCUGUAUUGGGACGGAGGCGGCUAA
This 870-nucleotide ribosomal RNA is filed under the name Triticum aestivum (bread wheat). Its description in RNAcentral is "partial small subunit ribosomal RNA". Lineage: Eukaryota; Viridiplantae; Streptophyta; Magnoliopsida; Poales; Poaceae. The record is from RNAcentral.